This 479-nucleotide ribosomal RNA is filed under the name uncultured bacterium. RNAcentral describes it as "bacterial SSU rRNA". It matches the Rfam family "Bacterial small subunit ribosomal RNA", at positions 28 to 498 of the family's 1533-position model. The record is from RNAcentral.
GAUGAACGCUAGCGGCAGGCCUAACACAUGCAAGUCGAGGGGCAGCAUAAAACAAGCUUGCUUGUUUGGUGGCGACCGGCGCACGGGUGCGUAACGCGUAUGCAACCUACCCUGUACUGAGGGAUAGCCCGGAGAAAUUCGGAUUAACACCUCAUAGUAUAAUUGAAUCGCAUGGUUUGAUUAUUAAAGGUUACGGUACAGGAUGGGCAUGCGUCCCAUUAGCUAGAUGGUAAGGUAACGGCUUACCAUGGCAACGAUGGGUAGGGGGCCUGAGAGGGUGGUCCCCCACACUGGUACUGAGACACGGACCAGACUCCUACGGGAGGCAGCAGUGAGGAAUAUUGGUCAAUGGGCGCGAGCCUGAACCAGCCAUGCCGCGUGCAGGAAGAAGGGUCCUAUGGAUUGUAAACUGCUUUUAGCAGAGACGAAACGCCGACAUUUAUGUUGGUCUGACGGUAUCUGCGGAAUAAGCACCGGCU